AAUGCGCGNCCUAUCAUGCAAGUCGAACGAGGCCUUUUGUAUUCGUACGAAGGUGUCCUAGUGGCGAACGGGUGAGUAACACGUUGGUGAUCUGCCCCGAAGAGAGGGACAACCCCGGGAAACUGGGGCUAAUACCUCAUGUGCUCCAUGGUGUUAGAGGACCAUGGAGGAAAGGAGCAAUCCGCUUCGGGAGGAGCCUGCGGCCCAUCAGCUAGUUGGUAGGGUAACGGCCUACCAAGGCGACGACGGGUAGGGGGCCUGAGAGGGUGGUCCCCCACAAUGGCACUGAAACACGGGCCAUACACCUACGGGUGGCAGCAGUAGGGAAUAUUGCACAAUGGGCGAAAGCCUGAUGCAGCAACGCCGCGUGCGCGAUGAAGGCCUUCGGGUUGUAAAGCGCUUUUCUGGGGGAAGAGGAAGGACUGUACCCCAGGAAUAAGUCUCGGCUAACUACGUGCCAGCAGCCGCGGUAAAACGUAGGAGGCAAGCGUUAUCCGGAUUUACUGGGCGUAAAGCGCGUGUAGGCGGUAUGGUAAGUCGGACGUGAAAGCUCCUGGCUCAACUGGGAGAUGCCGUUCGAAACUACCAAACUUGAGGGCAGUAGAGGGAGGUGGAAUUCCAGGUGUAGCGGUGAAAUGCGUAGAUAUCUGGAGGAACACCAGUGGCGAAGGCGGCCUCCUGGACUGUCCCUGACGCUCAGACGCGAAAGCUAGGGGAGCGAACGGGAUUAGACACCCCGGUAGUCCUAGCUGUAAACGAUGCAGACUUGGUGUUGGUCGUUUAAAAACGAUCAGUGCCGAAGCUAACGCGUUAAGUCUGCCGCCUGAGGAUUACGACCGCAAGGUUAAAA
This 850-nucleotide ribosomal RNA is filed under the name uncultured bacterium. Its description in RNAcentral is "bacterial SSU rRNA". It matches the Rfam family "Bacterial small subunit ribosomal RNA", at positions 41 to 899 of the family's 1533-position model. The record is from RNAcentral.